AUAGUACCGUGAGGGAAAGGUGAAAAGAACCCCGGGAGGGGAGUGAAAGAGAACCUGAAACCGUAUGUCUACAAGCAGUCGGAGCGAAAGCGACGGCGUGCCUAUUGAAGAAUGAACCAACGAGUUACGUGCACUAGCGAGGUUAAGUGGAAGACACGGAGCCGAAGCGAAAGCGAGUCUUAAGAGGGCGGAUAGUUAGUGUACGUAGACCCGAAACCGCAGUGAUCUACCCAUGUCCAGGUUGAAGCGCAGGUAAAAUUGCGUGGAGGACCGAACCUGUGAGCGUUGAAAAGCUUUAGGAUGAGAUGUGGGUAGAGGUGAAAUUCCAAUCGAACGCGGAGAUAGCUGGUUCUCCCCGAAAUAGCUUUAGGGCUAGCCUCAAGUAGUAAGUAUAGGCGGUAGAGCACUGAUCGGGCUAGGGGCCAUAAAGGUUACCGAACCCUGUCAAACUCCGAAUGGUUAUACUGUAGAGCUUGGGAGUCAGACUACGAGUGAUAAGAUCCGUGGUCAAAAGGGAAACAGCCCAGACCACCAGCUAAGGUCCCCAAUGUCGUACUAAGUGGAAAAGGAUGUGGGGUCUCUAAAACAACCAGGAUGUUGGCUUAGAAGCAGCCACCAUUUAAAGAGUGCGUAAUAGCUCACUGGUCGAGAGACCCUGCGCCGAAGAUUACCGGGGCUAAAGUACGAAACCGAAGCUGUGGCUACGACAUAUGUCGUGGGGUAGGGGAGCGUUCUGUGAGGGCUGAAGUCGUUCUGUAAGGAACGGUGGACUUCACAGAAGUGAGAAUGUUGGUAUGAGUAGCGAAAAGAAUGGUGAGAAUCCAUUCCACCGAAAGCAUAAGGAUUCCUGGGCAACGAUCGUCGUCCCAGGGUAAGUCGGGACCUAAUCCGAGGCAUGGAGCGUAGGAGAUGGACAACUGGCAGAUAUUCCAGUACCGGUAAUGAUUGUUUGAGCGAUGGAGUGACACAGGAGGGCAGGCAGGCAGGAGAUUGGUUGUUCCUGUACAAGCGUGUAGGAUGGGACGCAGGCAAAUCCGCGUCCUGUGAGUCUGAGGCGUGAUGUGGAGGUUCCGGAAACGGAACCGAAGCUGCUGACCCCACACUGUCGAGAAAAGCUUCUAGUUAGAGAAUUACCGCCCGUACCGUAAACCGACACAGGUAUGCGGGGAGAGAAUCCUAAGGUGCGCGGGAGAACCCUCGUUAAGGAACUCGGCAAAAUGUACCCGUAACUUCGGGAUAAGGGUAGCCGCUGUUGUGAAGUCUGAACAGACGGAGCAUGAGGCGGUCGCAGAGAAGAGGCCCAAGCGACUGUUUACCACAAACACAGGUGCCUGCUAAAGAGAAAUCUGACGUAUAGGUGCUGACACCUGCCCAGUGCCGGAAGGUUAAGGAAGGAUGUCCGGAGCAAUCCAAAGCAUUCGACCGAAGCCCCGGUGAACGGCGGCCGUAACUAUAACGGUCCUAAGGUAGCGAAAUUCCUUGUCGGGUAAG
Molecule: ribosomal RNA, 1491 nt
Filed under: human gut metagenome
Description: bacterial LSU rRNA
Rfam family: Bacterial large subunit ribosomal RNA
Source: RNAcentral